CCUAGGGUGGCAGCAGUGGGGAAUAUUACACAAUGGGCGCAAGCCUGAUGCAGCCAUGCCGCGUGUGUGAAGAAGGCCUUCGGGUUGUAAAGCACUUUCAGCGGGGAGGAAGGCGGUGAGGUUAAUAACCUCAUCGAUUGACGUUACCCGCAGAAGAAGCACCGGCAACUCCGUGCCAGCAGCCGCGGUAAUACGGAGGGUGCAAGCGUUAAUCGGAAUUACUGGGCGUAAAGCGCACGCAGGCGGUCUGUCAAGUCGGAUGUGAAAUCCCCGGGCUCAACCUGGGAACUGCAUUCGAAACUGGCAGGCUAGAGUCUUGUAGAGGGGGGUAGAAUUCCAGGUGUAGCGGUGAAAUGCGUAGAGAUCUGGAGGAAUACCGGUGGCGAAGGCGGCCCCCUGGACAAAGACUGACGCUCAGGUGCGAAAGCGUGGGGAGCAAACAGGAUUAGAUACCCGAGUAGUC
Molecule: ribosomal RNA, 463 nt
Filed under: uncultured Klebsiella sp.
Lineage: Bacteria; Pseudomonadati; Pseudomonadota; Gammaproteobacteria; Enterobacterales; Enterobacteriaceae
Description: bacterial SSU rRNA
Rfam family: Bacterial small subunit ribosomal RNA
Source: RNAcentral